ACGAACGCUGGCGGCAUGCCUAACACAUGCAAGUCGAACGAGACCUUCGGGUCUAGUGGCGCACGGGUGCGUCACGCGUGGGAACCUGCCCUUAGGUUCGGAAUAACUCCCCGCAAGGGGUGCUAAUACCGGAUAAUGUCUUCGGACCAAAGAUUUAUCGCCUUUGGAUGGGCCCGCGUUGGAUUAGCUAGUUGGUAGGGUAAAAGCCUACCAAGGCGACGAUCCAUAGCUGGUCUGAGAGGAUGAUCAGCCACACUGGGACUGAGACACGGCCCAGACUCCUACGGGAAGCAGCAGUGGGGAAUAUUGGACAAUGGGCGAAAGCCUGAUCCAGCAAUGCCGCGUGAGUGAUGAAGGCCUUAGGGUUGUAAAGCUCUUUUACCCGGGAUGAUAAUGACAGUACCGGGAGAAUAAGCUCCGGCUAACUCCGUG
This 432-nucleotide ribosomal RNA is filed under the name uncultured bacterium. Its description in RNAcentral is "partial 16S ribosomal RNA". It matches the Rfam family "Bacterial small subunit ribosomal RNA", at positions 29 to 507 of the family's 1533-position model. The record is from RNAcentral.